RNAcentral lists this ribosomal RNA (376 nucleotides) under uncultured Serratia sp. Its description in RNAcentral is "bacterial SSU rRNA". It matches the Rfam family "Bacterial small subunit ribosomal RNA", at positions 521 to 896 of the family's 1533-position model. Lineage: Bacteria; Pseudomonadati; Pseudomonadota; Gammaproteobacteria; Enterobacterales; Yersiniaceae. The record is from RNAcentral.
UAAUACGGAGGGUGCAAGCGUUAAUCGGAAUUACUGGGCGUAAAGCGCACGCAGGCGGUUUGUUAAGUCAGAUGUGAAAUCCCCGGGCUCAACCUGGGAACUGCAUUUGAAACUGGCAGGCUAGAGUCUCGUAGAGGGGGGUAGAAUUCCAGGUGUAGCGGUGAAAUGCGUAGAGAUCUGGAGGAAUACCGGUGGCGAAGGCGGCCCCCUGGACGAAGACUGACGCUCAGGUGCGAAAGCGUGGGGAGCAAACAGGAUUAGAUACCCUGGUAGUCCACGCUGUAAACGAUGUCGAUUUGGAGGUUGUGCCCUUGAGACGUGGCUUCCGGAGCUAACGCGUUAAAUCGACCGCCUGGGGAGUACGGCCGCAAGGUUA